CGCUCUUUGAUAAUAUGAAUAAAGAGUUUGGCCUGCCCGGUGAUAAAUUAAACGGCCGCAGUAUCCUGACUGUGCGAAGGUAGCAUAAUAAUUUGUCUUAUAAUUAAAGAAUGGAAUGAAUGGUUUGACUAGGGUGUGACUGUCUCUUAUAUAUUUUUUAAAAAUUAAUCUUUAAGUUAAAAAGCUUAAAUUAAAUUGAAAGACGAGAAGACCCUAUUGAGCUUAUAAGGACUUAUUAAUUAUAGUUAUAAUAUAGAUAAAAAUUAAUAUUGAAAUUUUAGUUGGGGCGACUUGGGAAUAAAAAAACCUUCCUUAAUAAAUUAAAAAAGAUUUUUUUUGAGCCAAAGAAUUUUGAAUUAAGAACAAGUUACCAUAGGGAUAACAGCGUUAUUUUUUUUGAGAGUUCUAAUCGAAGGGAAAGUUUGCGACCUCGAUGUUGGAUUAGGGGUAAAAUAAGGUUGCAGAAGCUUUAUAUAUUUAGUCUGUUCGACUAUUAAUUUCCU
RNAcentral lists this ribosomal RNA (503 nucleotides) under Diplommatina centralis. Its description in RNAcentral is "partial 16S ribosomal RNA". It matches the Rfam family "Bacterial large subunit ribosomal RNA", at positions 1817 to 2597 of the family's 2925-position model. Lineage: Eukaryota; Metazoa; Mollusca; Gastropoda; Architaenioglossa; Diplommatinidae. The record is from RNAcentral.